Molecule: ribosomal RNA, 373 nt
Filed under: uncultured organism
Description: bacterial SSU rRNA
Rfam family: Bacterial small subunit ribosomal RNA
Source: RNAcentral
CAUAGGGGGCAAACGUUGCUCGGAAUCACUGGGCAUAAAGCGCACGUAGGUGGCACUGUAAGUCUGAUGUGAAAUCCCUCGGCCUAACCGAGGAACUGCGUUGGAUACUGCCGUGCUUGAGGAUCGGAGGGGAGACAGGAACUCCUGGUGUAGCGGUGAAAUGCGUAGAUAUCAGGAGGAACGCCGGUGGCGAAAGCGUGUCUCUGGACGAUUUCUGACACUGAGGUGCGAAAGCUAGGGGAGCAAACGGGAUUAGAUACCCCGGUAGUCCUAGCCGUAAACGAUGGGUACUAGAUAGGAGGGGGACCUAUGCCUCUUCCUGUCGGAGUAAAUAUGUUAAGUACCCCGCCUGGGGAGUAUGCUCGCAAGGGUA